GGCCCUAAUACAUGCAGUCGAGCGGACAGAAGGGAGCUUGCUCCCGGAUGUUAGCGGCGGACGGGUGAGUAACACGUGGGUAACCUGCCUGUAAGACUGGGAUAACUCCGGGAAACCGGAGCUAAUACCGGAUAGUUCCUUGAACCGCAUGGUUCAAGGAUGAAAGACGGUUUCGGCUGUCACUUACAGAUGGACCCGCGGCGCAUUAGCUAGUUGGUGAGGUAACGGCUCACCAAGGCGACGAUGCGUAGCCGACCUGAGAGGGUGAUCGGCCACACUGGGACUGAGACACGGCCCAGACUCCUACGGGAGGCAGCAGUAGGGAAUCUUCCGCAAUGGACGAAAGUCUGACGGAGCAACGCCGCGUGAGUGAUGAAGGUUUUCGGAUCGUAAAGCUCUGUUGUUAGGGAAGAACAAGUGCAAGAGUAACUGCUUGCACCUUGACGGUACCUAACCAGAAAGCCACGGCUAACUACGUGCCAGCAGCCGCGGUAAUACGUAGGUGGCAAGCGUUGUCCGGAAUUAUUGGGCGUAAAGGGCUCGCAGGCGGUUUCUUAAGUCUGAUGUGAAAGCCCCCGGCUCAACCGGGGAGGGUCAUUGGAAACUGGGAAACUUGAGUGCAGAAGAGGAGAGUGGAAUUCCACGUGUAGCGGUGAAAUGCGUAGAGAUGUGGAGGAACACCAGUGGCGAAGGCGACUCUCUGGUCUGUAACUGACGCUGAGGAGCGAAAGCGUGGGGAGCGAACAGGAUUAGAUACCCUGGUAGUCCACGCCGUAAACGAUGAGUGCUAAGUGUUAGGGGGUUUCCGCCCCUUAGUGCUGCAGCUAACGCAUUAAGCACUCCGCCUGGGGAGUACGGUCGCAAGACUGAAACUCAAAGGAAUUGACGGGGGCCCGCACAAGCGGUGGAGCAUGUGGUUUAAUUCGAAGCAACGCGAAGAACCUUACCAGGUCUUGACAUCCUCUGACAACCCUAGAGAUAGGGCUUUCCCUUCGGGGACAGAGUGACAGGUGGUGCAUGGUUGUCGUCAGCUCGUGUCGUGAGAUGUUGGGUUAAGUCCCGCAACGAGCGCAACCUU
RNAcentral lists this ribosomal RNA (1078 nucleotides) under Bacillus altitudinis. RNAcentral's name for it is "bacterial SSU rRNA". It matches the Rfam family "Bacterial small subunit ribosomal RNA", at positions 45 to 1105 of the family's 1533-position model. The record is from RNAcentral. Lineage: Bacteria; Bacillati; Bacillota; Bacilli; Caryophanales; Bacillaceae.